UUUGGGCUCACUCGCGGGCUCCCUCUAGCGGUUAUCAGUGAUUUUAUGAUAAAACGGGAGAGAGAAGAAGUGGGAAGGCUCGCUAUCAUCCAGGUCCUGCUACCGUACCAAAACAGUGCUGCAGUGAACAGAGUCCGUGUGGAAACAGCACACAUACCCAGAGUUCCGACUUCAAGAGCGAGUCAUUCGUCAUUCACAUACAGAUCGCAGACUUGCCAGGUGUUUCGGAAGUUGCGGGAGUGUACUGCAAUAUUGAUAACGUCUACCUGAUGCCCUCAAGUCAGAUAAAAUCUCCAGAGAUUCUAAAUCGAGUGGCCAAAGUGAACGCAGCAAGGAAUUAAGACACAGAGUGAAUGAGAGCCCAUUACAAGCGGUAAAUUUUAUUAUGGGAUAACAGCACAUAAAGCACAUCUAAAAUCGAUGUGUCCAAUGCACUUUUAAUAAAGCUGUAUUUACAAAAUGAAUCAAAAUACUUAUUUCCAUAUUUAAGAAUCCGACGAAGAGAAGGAGCAAAACUACUAUUGUGAAG
This is a long non-coding RNA of Astyanax mexicanus (Mexican tetra), 529 nucleotides long. RefSeq lists it as uncharacterized. NCBI's taxonomy places the organism in Eukaryota, Metazoa, Chordata, Actinopteri, Characiformes, Acestrorhamphidae. The record is from RefSeq and is a predicted model, not a curated record. The transcript is spliced from 3 exons.